UACGAGGGGGGCGAGCGUUGUUCGGAAUUAUUGGGCGUAAAGGGUGCGUAGGCGGUUUUGUAAGUCUGAUGUGAAAUCUAUGGGCUCAACUCAUAGCCUGCAUCGGAAACUGCAGGGCUCGAGUGUGGGAGAGGUGAGUGGAAUUCCUGGUGUAGCGGCGAAAUGCGUAGAUAUCAGGAGGAACACCUGUGGCGAAAGCGGCUCACUGGACCACAACUGACGCUGAAGCACGAAAGCUAGGGGAGCAAACAGG
RNAcentral lists this ribosomal RNA (253 nucleotides) under uncultured bacterium. RNAcentral describes it as "partial 16S ribosomal RNA". It matches the Rfam family "Bacterial small subunit ribosomal RNA", at positions 524 to 776 of the family's 1533-position model. The record is from RNAcentral.